UACGAAGGGGGCUAGCGUUGUUCGGAAUUACUGGGCGUAAAGCGCGCGCAGGCGGUUUCUCAAGUCAGUGGUGAAAGCCCGGAGCUCAACUCCGGAACUGCCAUUGAAACUGUUUAGCUUGAGGAUGAGAGAGGUGAGUGGAAUUCCCAGUGUAGAGGUGAAAUUCGUAGAUAUUCGGAAGAACACCAGUGGCGAAGGCGGCUCACUGGACCGGUAUUGACGCUGAGGUGCGAAAGCGUGGGGAGCAAACAGG
This 253-nucleotide ribosomal RNA is filed under the name uncultured bacterium. RNAcentral describes it as "partial 16S ribosomal RNA". It matches the Rfam family "Bacterial small subunit ribosomal RNA", at positions 524 to 776 of the family's 1533-position model. The record is from RNAcentral.